GCUCAGACGAACGCGGGCGGCGUGCCUAAUACAUGCAAGUCGAGCGGAGUUGAUGAGGUGCUUGCACCUCUGAUACUUAGCGGCGGACGGGUGAGUAACACGUGGGUAACCUGCCUAUAAGACUGGGAUAACAUUCGGAAACGAAUGCUAAUACCGGAUACGCGAUUUGGUCGCAUGAUCGAAUCGGGAAAGAUGGAGCAAUCUAUCACUUAUAGAUGGACCCGCGGCGCAUUAGCUAGUUGGUGAGGUAACGGCUCACCAAGGCGACGAUGCGUAGCCGACCUGAGAGGGUGAUCGGCCACACUGGGACUGAGACACGGCCCAGACUCCUACGGGAGGCAGCAGUAGGGAAUCUUCCGCAAUGGACGAAAGUCUGACGGAGCAACGCCGCGUGAGUGAUGAAGGUUUUCGGAUCGUAAAGCUCUGUUGCCAGGGAAGAAUGCUUGGGAGAGUAACUGCUCCCAAGGUGACGGUACCUGAGAAGAAAGCCC
Molecule: ribosomal RNA, 491 nt
Filed under: Paenibacillaceae bacterium CL6.54
Lineage: Bacteria; Bacillati; Bacillota; Bacilli; Caryophanales; Paenibacillaceae
Description: bacterial SSU rRNA
Rfam family: Bacterial small subunit ribosomal RNA
Source: RNAcentral